GACGAACGCUGGCGGCGUGCUUAACACAUGCAAGUCGAACGGAAAGGCCCUGCUUUUGUUGGGUGCUCGAUUGGCGAACGGGUGAGUAACACGUGAGUAACCUGCCCUUGACUUUGGGAUAACUUCAGGAAACUGGGGCUAAUACCGGAUAGGAGCUCCUGCUGCAUGGUGGUGGUUGGAAAGUUUCGGCGGUUGGGGCUGGUCUCGCGGCUUAUCAGCUUGUUUGUGUGGUAGUGGCUUACCAAGGCUUUGACGGGUAGCCGGCCUGAGAGGUUGACCGGCCUCAUUGGGACUGCGAUACGGCCCAGAAGCGUACGGGAGGCAGCAGUGGGGAAUAUUGCAGAAUGGGGGCAAGUGAGAUGCAGCAACGUCGCGUGCGGAAUAACGGCUUUCGGGUUGUAAACCGCUUUCGCAUGUGACGUAGCGUGCUUGACGGUAACGGGUCAGGAAGCACCGGCUAACUACGUG
This 468-nucleotide ribosomal RNA is filed under the name uncultured bacterium. Its description in RNAcentral is "partial 16S ribosomal RNA". It matches the Rfam family "Bacterial small subunit ribosomal RNA", at positions 28 to 507 of the family's 1533-position model. The record is from RNAcentral.